GAUGAAGAACGUAGCGAAAUGCGACAAGUAAUGUGAAUUGCAGAAUUCCGUGAAUCAUCGAAUCUUUGAACGCACAUUGCGCCCCCUGGUAUUCCGGGGGGCAUGCCUGUCCGAGCGUCAUUGCUGCCCUCAAGCACGGCUUGUGUGUUGGGCCCCGUCCUCCGAUCCCGGGGGACGGGCCCGAAAGGCAGCGGCGGCACCGCGUCCGGUCCUCGAGCGUAUGGGGCUUUGUCACCCGCUCUGUAGGCCCGGCCGGCGCUUGCCGAUCAACCCAAAUUUUUAUCCAGGUUGACCUCGGAUCAGGUAGGGAUACCCGCUGAACUUAAGCAUAUCAAUAAGCGGAGGA
Molecule: unclassified non-coding RNA, 346 nt
Filed under: soil metagenome
Description: partial contains 5.8S ribosomal RNA, internal transcribed spacer 2, and large subunit ribosomal RNA
Rfam family: 5.8S ribosomal RNA (bases 1-120)
Source: RNAcentral